This 492-nucleotide ribosomal RNA is filed under the name uncultured bacterium. RNAcentral's name for it is "partial 16S ribosomal RNA". It matches the Rfam family "Bacterial small subunit ribosomal RNA", at positions 29 to 507 of the family's 1533-position model. The record is from RNAcentral.
AUUGAACGCUGGCGGCAUGCUUUACACAUGCAAGUCGAGCGGUAACAGGCCUCUGGGUGCUGACGAGUGGCGAACGGGCGAGUAAUGCAUCGGAACGUGCCCAGAGGUGGGGGAUAAUGCAGCGACAGCCGUGUUAAUACCGCAUGUGAUCUGAGCUUCAAAGCGGGGGACCAAGCAGCAAUGUUUGGCCUCGUGCCUCUGGACCGGCCGAUGCCGGAUUAGGUAGUUGGUGGGGUAAAGGCCUACCAAGCCGAUGAUCUGUAGCUGGUAUGAGAGGACGGCCAGCCGCACUGGGACUGAGACACGGACCAGACUCCUGCGGGAGGCAGCAGUGGGGAAUGUUAGACAAUGGGCGGAAGCCUGGUCCAGCAAUGCCGCGUGCGAGAAGACGGCCUUCGGGUUGUAAACCGCUUUUGUGCGGAACGAAAAGGCUCUGGCUAAUACCUGGGGCUGAUGACGGUACCGUAAGAAUAAGCACCGGCUAACUACGUG